Pelobates cultripes (western spadefoot toad) is the source of this 1445-nucleotide non-coding RNA. NCBI's taxonomy places the organism in Eukaryota, Metazoa, Chordata, Amphibia, Anura, Pelobatidae. The record is from the annotation of a GenBank genome assembly.
GUUUUAUUUUGCAUAGUGACAUCAACAUGGGAUUUGAAAUAAUGAAAUCACAAGGAGAACAUGUAAUAAAACAAUAAAAAAAAAUAGCUGAAUGAUUUAUAAAUGUCUCCAUAACCCUAAGAUUGCAUUAUUUUUUCCAUUUCACAGAACACUACAUGAUUUUUGCUAGGUUAGAUUUAGUGUUAGGGCUCAAGGUAGUGAGAGAGGGUAUAGUAGGAGUUAAGGGUAGGGUAAGUGAUAGUGUAGUGUUGGGAUUCACGGUGUUGGAAUAUGUAAGCAUUACGGGAAGCAAUUUACUUAUAGAGCAGUCCUUCGAUAUAUAUGAUCCAGUGCGGUGUGAGAAAAAUGUGUUUUACAGUCCUAUAAAGCAGCUAUUACAGCUACUUCCAUUAAAAUAGUGGUAGCUACUGUGUAACAGCCUGUGGGUACUCCAGCUGAGUACCUCCAUUACUUCUCGGCUUCUACUGCUUUGGAGUAAAAUGUGCAGUAAUUUCACACAUGUACACCCCAGGUCUACCUGAGAUUAGUGGUCCAUUUAGUGAACAAAUGUGAUCUGAGCAUUAAUAUGAUGUCAUCAUCAAUGCGGUACAAUGUUCUACAACAUGAUCUUCCUGUUGAAUGUCUGUUAUGUCAUUGGGCACACAGUGUUUUUAAAUCCAGUAUUCUAAUGGUGGGUGAUGUCAUCCGUGCAUUAUCUUAAUAAUUCAAAGUUCGAAUGAUACUCUAUUGUGUGGGUGUCCCUAAUCUCAAUGAAACCCACAUGUUCUAGCCUGUACCAGAUUAGUGUUAGUUACACUCCUAGACAGCAGCAGCUACUUUUAACUGCUGGCAUUUAAAAUAAGCUCUCUCCAAAUAGUGAUAUGGAUGGAGAGGAGCUGAGAAAACAGAAACAGCACAAUUCUGUCUCCCCAGCAGUUCUCCUGACAUAUAAUUAAUGGGAGAUAAGCUGAAUUAAUGGCAUCAGAUGCAAGUAGCAGCUCUUUCCCAGCAAUGAAACUCCCAUGAGUCUAAGGUCCAUGGAGACCUAUAUGUUCCUAAACCUAUUGAUAACGAAGAAAUGUGUAUUAGGAGUGUAAACCUUCUUAUGUCUUCAGAAACACACACACACACACACAUACACACACACACACACACACACAUACACACACACUACCAUACAACUGUUUUUUACAAUCAUGUAAAUAAAAAAAAUACAAUUAGCAAUCCUUAUUAAUCAAAGAGUCAAUCAAACAUGCAUAAGAAAAAGGCACGAGUUAUGUCUAUGAUGAGGCUACAGUGAUAGACAAGGACACACAGUCACCUGCUACAUCAGACUGGCAUAGUUAGUUACAAUAGCUGCACACACACACAGCAAGAGGAAGUGAAAAAGGCCCAUUGAAAAUAAAAUAGACUGCAUUGCCCUUGUCACAUGAGAAGCAGACAUUCCCCCCAAUGAAUUUGCUGUG